RNAcentral lists this long non-coding RNA (264 nucleotides) under Homo sapiens (human). Its description in RNAcentral is "HSALNT0206489". Lineage: Eukaryota; Metazoa; Chordata; Mammalia; Primates; Hominidae. The record is from RNAcentral.
AGGCGCCUUCCACCAUAAUGGGAAACUUGGACCCAGAGACAUACUCAGAGGAAGAACGCUGUGUGAAGGCGGAGGCAGAGGUCAAGGGGAUUCAUCUAUGAGCCACAGACUGCCACAGACUGCCAGCCAACCCUCACCAGAGCCAGGAGAGAGGCACAGGGCAGAGUCUACCUCAUACCCCUCAGAAGGAGUCAACGGUGCUGAUACCUUGAUUUCUGACCUUUACCUUCAGAACUGUGAGACAAUAAAUUUCUAUUGUGUAAG